AUUGAACGCUGGCGGCAUGCCUUACACAUGCAAGUCGAACGGCAGCAUGAUCUAGCUUGCUCGAUUGAUGGCGAGUGGCGAACGGGUGAGUAAUACAUCGGAACGUGCCCUGUAGUGGGGGAUAACUAGUCGAAAGAUUAGCUAAUACCGCAUACGACCUGAGGGUGAAAGUGGGGGACCGCAAGGCCUCAUGCUAUAGGAGCGGCCGAUGUCUGAUUAGCUAGUUGGUGAGGUAAAGGCUCACCAAGGCGACGAUCAGUAGCUGGUCUGAGAGGACGAUCAGCCACACUGGGACUGAGACACGGCCCAGACUCCUACGGGAGGCAGCAGUGGGGAAUUUUGGACAAUGGGCGAAAGCCUGAUCCAGCAAUGCCGCGUGUGUGAAGAAGGCCUUCGGGUUGUAAAGCACUUUUGUCCGGAAAGAAAUGGCUCUGGUUAAUACCUGGGGUCGAUGACGGUACCGGAAGAAUAAGGACCGGCUAACUACGCG
This 490-nucleotide ribosomal RNA is filed under the name uncultured bacterium. Its description in RNAcentral is "partial 16S ribosomal RNA". It matches the Rfam family "Bacterial small subunit ribosomal RNA", at positions 30 to 507 of the family's 1533-position model. The record is from RNAcentral.